This 68-nucleotide transfer RNA is filed under the name Marmota monax (woodchuck). Its description in RNAcentral is "tRNA.Ala". It matches the Rfam family "tRNA", at positions 5 to 66 of the family's 71-position model. From Rfam's summary of the family: Transfer RNA (tRNA) molecules are approximately 80 nucleotides in length. Their secondary structure includes four short double-helical elements and three loops (D, anti-codon, and T loops). Lineage: Eukaryota; Metazoa; Chordata; Mammalia; Rodentia; Sciuridae. The record is from RNAcentral.
GAAUGUAGCUCAGUUGGUAGAGCGCUUGCAUCGCAUGCACAAGGCCCUGGGUUCAAACCCUAGCAUCA